RNAcentral lists this transfer RNA (59 nucleotides) under Camelus bactrianus (Bactrian camel). It matches the Rfam family "tRNA", at positions 7 to 64 of the family's 71-position model. From Rfam's summary of the family: Transfer RNA (tRNA) molecules are approximately 80 nucleotides in length. Their secondary structure includes four short double-helical elements and three loops (D, anti-codon, and T loops). Further hydrogen bonds mediate the characteristic L-shaped molecular structure. tRNAs have two regions of fundamental functional importance: the anti-codon, which is responsible for specific mRNA codon recognition, and the 3' end, to which the tRNAs corresponding amino acid is attached (by aminoacyl-tRNA synthetases). tRNAs cope with the degeneracy of the genetic code in two manners: having more than one tRNA (with a specific anti-codon) for a particular amino acid; and 'wobble' base-pairing, i.e. permitting non-standard base-pairing at the 3rd anti-codon position. Lineage: Eukaryota; Metazoa; Chordata; Mammalia; Artiodactyla; Camelidae. RNAcentral also lists the same sequence under 3 other names. The record is from Rfam by way of RNAcentral.
AUAGCUCAGUGGUAGAGUGCAUGCCUAGCAUGCACAAGGUCCUGGGUUCAAUCCCCAGU